GACGAACGCUGGCGGCGUGCCUAAUACAUGCAAGUAGAACGCUGAAGAGAGGAGCUUGCUCUUCUUGGAUGAGUUGCGAACGGGUGAGUAACGCGUAGGUAACCUGCCUGGUAGCGGGGGAUAACUAUUGGAAACGAUAGCUAAUACCGCAUAAAAUUGAUUAUUGCAUGAUAAUUAAUUGAAAGAUGCAAUUGCAUCACUACCAGAUGGACCUGCGUUGUAUUAGCUAGUUGGUGAGGUAACGGCUCACCAAGGCGACGAUACAUAGCCGACCUGAGAGGGUGAUCGGCCACACUGGGACUGAGACACGGCCCAGACUCCUACGGGAGGCAGCAGUAGGGAAUCUUCGGCAAUGGGGGGAACCCUGACCGAGCAACGCCGCGUGAGUGAAGAAGGUUUUCGGAUCGUAAAGC
This 413-nucleotide ribosomal RNA is filed under the name Streptococcus sanguinis. RNAcentral describes it as "bacterial SSU rRNA". It matches the Rfam family "Bacterial small subunit ribosomal RNA", at positions 28 to 431 of the family's 1533-position model. The record is from RNAcentral. Lineage: Bacteria; Bacillati; Bacillota; Bacilli; Lactobacillales; Streptococcaceae.